GGUUUAAUAGUCAAAUAUGAUUUUAAAUUGCAAAUUUAAAGGUGAACUGGGUUUUUAAGCCU
This 62-nucleotide transfer RNA is filed under the name Adelium sp. NCS-2009. Its description in RNAcentral is "tRNA-Cys". The record is from RNAcentral. Lineage: Eukaryota; Metazoa; Arthropoda; Insecta; Coleoptera; Tenebrionidae.